AACGAACGCUGGCGGCAGGCCUAAAACAUGCAAGUCGAACGAACCUUCGGGUUAGUGGCGCACGGGUGAGUAACACGUGGGAAUGUGCCCCUGGGUGCGGAACAACGUCGGGAAACUGACGCUAAUACCGCAUAAUGUCUACGGACCAAAGAUUUAUUGCCCAGAGAUCAGCCCGCGUCUGAUUAGCUAGUUGGUGAGGUAACGGCUCACCAAGGCGACGAUCAGUAGCUGGUCUGAGAGGAUGAUCAGCCACACUGGAACUGAGACACGGUCCCGACUCCUACGGGAGGCAGCAGUUAGGAAUAUUGGACAAUGGGGGCAACCUUGAUCCAGCCAUGCCGCGUGUGUGAAGAAGGCCUUAGGGUUGUAAAGCACUUUCGGCUGUGAAGAUAAUGACAGUAGCAGAAGAAGAAGCUCCGGCUAAAUUCGUGCCAGCCGCCGCCGUAA
Molecule: ribosomal RNA, 447 nt
Filed under: uncultured bacterium
Lineage: Bacteria
Description: partial 16S ribosomal RNA
Rfam family: Bacterial small subunit ribosomal RNA
Source: RNAcentral